Molecule: ribosomal RNA, 253 nt
Filed under: uncultured bacterium
Lineage: Bacteria
Description: partial 16S ribosomal RNA
Rfam family: Bacterial small subunit ribosomal RNA
Source: RNAcentral
UACGAAGGGGGCUAGCGUUGUUCGGAAUCACUGGGCGUAAAGGGCGCGUAGGCGGCCGGUCAAGUCGGGGGUGAAAGCCUGUGGCUCAACCACAGAAUGGCCUUCGAUACUGGACGGCUCGAGACCGGAAGAGGUGAGUGGAACUGCGAGUGUAGAGGUGAAAUUCGUAGAUAUUCGCAAGAACACCAGUGGCGAAGGCGGCUCACUGGUCUGGUUCUGACGCUGAGGCGCGAAAGCGUGGGGAGCAAACAGG